Non-coding RNA from Xyrichtys novacula (pearly razorfish), 1746 nucleotides. The record is from the annotation of a GenBank genome assembly. Lineage: Eukaryota; Metazoa; Chordata; Actinopteri; Labriformes; Labridae.
UAUAAACAUUUUGCCAGUGGAUCAAUACCUGUAUUGAUCAACCAUUGUGAGAGUGAUCCGUCUAAAACCCCGAGCAGCCUAGAGCUCAGAGAUGGGAGGAGCGAAAGAGAGAGGGCUGCAGAGAGGAUGGAGAAAGAGAGAGAGUCCGCAGCCACGGUGAAAGGGAGAAGAGGUACAAGGGAAGAGAAGCGAAUCUGAGAGCGAAGCAGCUUCCGAGCUGAAGGCAGGUGGGGAGGCAGGUUUUCGGACAGCGCUGCCAGGCCACUGGGACUGGGGAGAAGCUCAUGGUAAUUGCUUUCUCAUUAAGGGAGGGAGGGUGAGGGCGACUAAUGACUACGGCUUUAAGUAUGCGAGUAAUUGACGGAUGGAGAAAUAGUGCGAAGAAAUGUAUAUGCGGGUAACAAAGGGGGUGAUUCCCACAUCUGAGGUCGCUAAUGCCUGCACUUGUUUGGCCUGCUGUGUUGCACUGUCAGGUACAUUGUUUUUGUGAUUGUAUGCAGGUGCGAGUGUUAAGGGCUCUGAGUGUGUCAUGAGGUGGGCAGAGUAAUAAAGUGCAUGAUGAAAACAUCUGUUCUCCUCAUUUUGUCACUAAUUUCAUUGUAUUUUUCUUUGUUUCUAUUACAUCAGGAGGAACUCAAGCUCAUCGACAGAAGCUUGGUGACAUCAUGGGACUGAGAAGGCCUCGCUAAAGAUGCUGGGUCAUGAGUUCAGCUGCUGCAGUAAAAUCAAAACUGGAAAUUCCCUGAAAAACUCAAAGACCAAGAGGGAGACAAGUAGCUACACCCUGGAUAUAAACAUUCAUGGAUGAAGUAAAAGGAUGGAAUAAUCCAAAACCAACGCUGAAUUCAAAUUCUUGAUUUUUGCUGUUGGGGAAAAAGCUUGCUUUGGGAUGUUGUUGACAUUUUUUAAGAUUUACUGGAUUGAAUUAAAUUUUUUGAAUUUUCUUGAUUUUUUUUUUUUUUUUUUCUAAGGAGAAAACUGACUGGACCGCUCAACGAAAGCAACGGAUGUUCACUUCAAGGCCCCAAGCUGUGCUUGUCAGGAGGAGGAGUCAGAAAGCUCUUGGGAUCACCUCCAAAUGCAAAGGGGAAAUCAAGUUUCUAUUGAUUGAUUUUAAUGUGAUUUAACUGCAUAAUGGUGGAUUUUGGGGACGAUUGAUUCCUCGCAACUGUGGAGGAUAAUCUCAACACUCAUCAACCUACAGCGCACUUGAGAUGCAGAGACAAAAAAAAGAGGCCUACACUGUUCAUGUUCAUUCACCGGUGCAAACAUGCAGUCUGUGAAUGGACAUCGUAUACCGGGAAUAUGAAGUGCUCUUAGAGGGUUUUGCCUAAUAAACUGUUAAACAACCUGUGAGGAUGCCUAAUGCAACACUAUAGUAACACUAAGUUUACGGCAGUAACAGUGUUUAUAGGAAUAUGCUAAUCUGGCAGUUUAUUUAUUUAUUUUUGAAACUGGAGAAACAACACGAGAAGACUACUGUGGGUUUUUAAUCUUUUUGUCCAAUGAGGUGCAUAACAUGCAACAGUUCUAUUAACACUAUUGAGUGGGAAACAGCCCCUGACUCUAGACAUGGCAUAAACCACCAGUUUUAAAACAAACUGAGCUUAGCUGGAGGUGACCAACUUAUCUGAGUAAAGACAAGAAGAUAUAUCACAGCACAAGCUGCAUUAAAGGGAUAUUCCGGCAUAAAUUUAAGUCAUAGUUAAACACAUCAUAACACUGAGUUAGACACCCCCUCGAGAU